GUUAUCUAAAGUUCAAUUUCAUCCUCGAAAUGUCAUACCAAAUCAAAUCUGCAGCUUUCGUUCUCUGAGCCUUAAGUCCUCAAAUUGAAGGGAGUAACUAAAAAUGAGUCUGCAUACUCAUUAUUUGAGAUACUCAAGGUCCAUUUAUGUUGAAGUGAAGAAAUUGUGGAUUUGUUAUACUACAACUAAGGUGGGAAACAACAUUGCGUACACUUACCCUCUCCAGACCCCACUUUGUGCCACUAUACAUGGUCCUGAUGUUUUCGUGAAGACCACGAAUAAAGGAGACUGAUAAUGACUAGCGAGGCUAUCCCUUGAA
Molecule: long non-coding RNA, 319 nt
Organism: Solanum stenotomum
Lineage: Eukaryota; Viridiplantae; Streptophyta; Magnoliopsida; Solanales; Solanaceae
Exons: 3
Source: RefSeq, a predicted model, not a curated record